This 253-nucleotide ribosomal RNA is filed under the name uncultured bacterium. RNAcentral's name for it is "partial 16S ribosomal RNA". It matches the Rfam family "Bacterial small subunit ribosomal RNA", at positions 524 to 776 of the family's 1533-position model. The record is from RNAcentral.
UACGUAGGGGGCUAGCGUUGUCCGGAUUUAUUGGGCGUAAAGAGCGUGUAGGCGGCCAUGUAGGUCCGGUGUGAAAACUCGAGGCUUAACCUCGAGAUGUCAUCGGAAACCAUUUGGCUAGAGUCCGGAAGAGGAGAGUGGAAUUCCUGGUGUAGCGGUGAAAUGCGCAGAUAUCGGGAAGAACACCCGUGGCGAAGGCGGUUCUCUGGGACGGUACUGACGCUGAGACGCGAAAGCGUGGGGAGCGAACAGG